This 160-nucleotide ribosomal RNA is filed under the name Selenidium pherusae. RNAcentral's name for it is "5.8S ribosomal RNA". Lineage: Eukaryota; Apicomplexa; Conoidasida; Archigregarinorida; Selenidiidae. The record is from RNAcentral.
GCGCUCCCCCAUGGCUGAUGCUUCGGCUGCCGAGCAGAAGACGGACGUAGCAAACUGCGAAAAGUAUCAUGUCUUGCGAAAAGCUGUGAAUGUAACAAAUUUCUCAACGCAUAUCACGUAUUUGUCUCUAUGGUAAAAGUGUGAUCCGCUAUGGCAGCAA